GAAGCUACCCGACUGAAAGGAAUGUUUAUUGACACUUUUUCUUAGAAAAAGAAAAGACAAAUAAGGCUUUAUUUAGCCUUGAUGAAGGAAGGACUCUCUCAUGUUGUUAUUUCCCCUUUUUUUUGUCCCCUACAGGUCGUCAGAGUGGCAUAAAAUUUCUAAAAAGUCCAUUUAAAUAGAUUUGAUUGUUUCUAUUUCUAUUCUUUUCUGUCUUUUCUGUUUGCAUCUUUGACAAUUAUUCUCAAAAGUUAACCCCUGUUUAAUCAAUGUUUUUCGACUUACACCAGUGAGACCAUGAUGAAUAAUUUUCUUCUAAUUUCCACCUUUAAGUUAAUCUACAUCCUUUACUAUUUACUAUUUUUCAAAACAAAUUUGCUGUGUGGCAAAUGUAGCUGCAUAGAGUAAUCACUACUUGCGAUCUUUGUUUUUAAUGAUCCCAAUGCAAAAAAAAUGUUAACCCUGUUUAGCUAUUUCAACAUUCAUCAACCUUAUUGCAUAUCAAUUAGCGAUAUAUUGGUUAUUGCCAUGACAUUAUUCUGAUUCUACUUGCUUCGCUUCCAGUUGAAUUGUACAAUAUAAAUGUAAAUGUUUGUCAUGGUCUCAUUUAUUGGUGUUUUAAUUGGGUUUUGUAAAGUUUUGAGAGCCACUAGUUCCUGUUCAGAAGAAGCACUUUAAAAAAAAAAAAAAAAUUUCUGCUGUUCAUUCAAUCCCCUAGUUUUCGUGUACCGAUAUUCCUGUGCAAUCUUUUUUUAUAUAUUGUUGUUGUCUGUGACAAUAAAUGUAAUUUUAUAAGUUAAUUAUAAACAUAUUACUACCAGUG
Molecule: long non-coding RNA, 820 nt
Organism: Poecilia latipinna (sailfin molly)
Lineage: Eukaryota; Metazoa; Chordata; Actinopteri; Cyprinodontiformes; Poeciliidae
Exons: 2
Source: RefSeq, a predicted model, not a curated record